Molecule: long non-coding RNA, 608 nt
Organism: Ipomoea nil (Japanese morning glory)
Lineage: Eukaryota; Viridiplantae; Streptophyta; Magnoliopsida; Solanales; Convolvulaceae
Exons: 4
Source: RefSeq, a predicted model, not a curated record
CGUUCAUGAUAUUGACAUUCAACUGUGCCCUGGAGACACGGUCGAAGCAUGCCCGCCCAGUGUGCUUCUUUCACGACAUGCUAUAGUCCUGGGUGUCUUCCAGUGGUCUUCUAGCCUUAGAAGAAGUCGUGUCCGUCCCAGGCAUCUGCAACGUCCUCCUUUGAUAUUCUAAUCUGGGACAACUAAAAGACUGAGCCAUGCGGUUACUUUCACGGUCGCCCUCACUAAACCAACUUGAAUCUGAACUACGAUUCAGAUCACAUCUUACUGAAAUCGGAUUUCCUUUGCGUGCCAUAUGCGCUUAGACUUCACUUUUUCCCCGUUUUUCUUCCCCGUCCAAUAUUUAUUCUCGAAGGUCUUCGUUUUCGUGUAAAAGAAAACUCUCCAAAUUUAUGACCAACCUUUCCUUCAGUAAUCUUACAACGAACAGGAGUUUUUCCAUUGUAAAUUCGUACGGAGCAAUCAACGAAUUCCGGCGAAAUAGAAGAUCUACGUGACCAAAUUGUCAUGUUCAAAAGAAGAUCUCUCUUCUUUUUCAUUCUCAAGAGGAAUGCAUCAACAAAACUUCUCUUCCAUAUAGAUCGGAAAGCGUCUUGUAGGGAAAGAGA